AUUAGAAACAGUGAUGAACACCCAUUUUCCAACUUCCUCACAAGAAUGGAAAAUAGAAAAACUGAAUGGAAAAAAGUAAAGAAAAAACUAUUUUCUAUAACUAACAUUGUUUAAAAUUUAGUGAAUUAAAAAGGUGAGAAUUUCAGAGUUUUUAAAAUCUCUAAAAGCCUUACCUUCUUUAAAAGCAUUAAUACAAUGAUGCAAGAAUCGAAAUUUUACUAUAAUUAUCAUUAAAUUAAGACAAUGCCACUCUUCAGACCAAAUUUGUUCUUUCCUGGCAUCACACUAAGCAAAAGAAAGAAAGAAAAUAUAUAUAAUAUAUAUACUAUGCUGUUUGUCCAAAAUG
RNAcentral lists this unclassified non-coding RNA (346 nucleotides) under Hevea brasiliensis (rubber tree). Lineage: Eukaryota; Viridiplantae; Streptophyta; Magnoliopsida; Malpighiales; Euphorbiaceae. The record is from RNAcentral.